This 433-nucleotide ribosomal RNA is filed under the name uncultured bacterium. RNAcentral describes it as "partial 16S ribosomal RNA". It matches the Rfam family "Bacterial small subunit ribosomal RNA", at positions 29 to 507 of the family's 1533-position model. The record is from RNAcentral.
AACGAACGCUGGCGGCAUGCCUAACACAUGCAAGUCGAACGAGACCUUCGGGUCUAGUGGCGCACGGGUGCGUAACGCGUGGGAACCUGCCCUUAGGUUCGGAAUAACUCCCCGAAAGGGGUGCUAAUACCGGAUAAUGUCUUCGGACCAAAGAUUUAUCGCCUUUGGAUGGGCCCGCGUUGGAUUAGCUAGUUGGUAGGGUAAAAGCCUACCAAGGCGACGAUCCAUAGCUGGUCUGAGAGGAUGAUCAGCCACACUGGGACUGAGACACGGCCCAGACUCCUGCGGGAGGAAGGGGGGGGGAAUAUUGAAGAGGGGGAGAAGGCCUGAUCCAGCAAGGCGGGGUGAGUGAUGAAGGCCUUGGGGUUGUAAAGUUUUUUUACCGGGGAUGAUAAUGACAGUACGGGGAGAAUAAGCCCCGGCUAACUCCGUG